GAUGAACGCUGGCGGCGUGCCUAAUACAUGCAAGUAGAACGCUGAAGGAGGAGCUUGCUCUUCUGGAUGAGUUGCGAACGGGUGAGUAACGCGUAGGUAACCUGCCUGGUAGCGGGGGAUAACUAUUGGAAACGAUAGCUAAUACCGCAUGACAACAGUUAUUGCAUGAUAACUGUUUAAAAGGGGCAACUGCUCCACUACCAGAUGGACCUGCGUUGUAUUAGCUAGUUGGUGAGGUAACGGCUCACCAAGGCGACGAUACAUAGCCGACCUGAGAGGGUGAUCGGCCACACUGGGACUGAGACACGGCCCAGACUCCUACGGGAGGCAGCAGUAGGGAAUCUUCGGCAAUGGACGGAAGUCUGACCGAGCAACGCCGCGUGAGUGAAGAAGGGUUUCGGAUCGUAAAGCUCUGUUGUAAGAGAAGAACGAGUGUGAGAGUGGAAAGUUCACACUGUGACGGUAUCUUACCAGAAAGGGACGGCUAACCACGUG
This 495-nucleotide ribosomal RNA is filed under the name uncultured bacterium. Its description in RNAcentral is "partial 16S ribosomal RNA". It matches the Rfam family "Bacterial small subunit ribosomal RNA", at positions 28 to 507 of the family's 1533-position model. The record is from RNAcentral.